GUCAGAGGUUCGAAGGCGAUCAGAUACCGCCCUAGUUCUGACCGUAAACGAUGCCACCUGACGAUCCGCCAGGGUUACUACCAUGACUCGGCGGGCAGUCCCCGGGAAACCCAAGCCUUCGGGUUCCGGGGGAAGUAUGGUUGCAAAGCUGAAACUUAAAGGAAUUGACGGAAGGGCACCACCAGGAGUGGAGCCUGCGGCUUAAUUUGACUCAACACGGGGAACCUCACCCGGCCCGGACACCGCGAGGAUUGACAGAUUGAGAGCUCUUUCUCGAUUCGGUGGGUGGUGGUGCAUGGCCGUUCUUAGUUGGUGGAGCGAUUUGUCUGGUUAAUUCCGAUAACGAACGAGACUCUAGCCGGUUAAGUAGCCCGAGCGGUUUUUGAUCUUUGCCGUUCAUCCCCGUUCGACCUUUGCGUCGUCCCCCUUUUUGCGGGCCGUCUCCGUCGUUUUACCGUUUCUCUGGUUUCCCGAUUGUCCGUCGUCCCGGCGAUCCGUUCGACGGGUGCCGACGGUUUUCGCGGUUUCCAGGGGGCGGUGGCGGCGGAACGGUUUCGUUCAGGGGGGUAUACGCUCGGUCGUUUCGGGGUGAAAGCAUAACCGAAGGCCGCCGGCUUUUAAGGAAGCUUCUUAGAGGGACGAGCGGCGUUCAGCCGCCCGA
Molecule: ribosomal RNA, 661 nt
Filed under: Peripatopsis moseleyi
Lineage: Eukaryota; Metazoa; Onychophora; Udeonychophora; Euonychophora; Peripatopsidae
Description: bacterial SSU rRNA
Rfam family: Eukaryotic small subunit ribosomal RNA
Source: RNAcentral